AAAUUCGACGAAGCGGGGGACAACGCCUGCAUCAAUAACUUUUUGAAUUGGUGGGUUUGUCUCCUUAGACAAAGCCUUUCGAAACUUGGCAGUAGCUUGAAUUUGUGCCUCUAUGUCAUCCGAAUACAACGCCUUCAAUAAAUCAGGUAAUUGAAGCUCCAACUCUAAAUCAUUUUCCUUAUCUUGUUCUAAUGGAAUAGUUUCUUCGGCAGGCUCUUGAACAUCAACCAGAUUACGACGCUUGUUCAAAUUUUCCUCACGUUUUUGUUUACGGAUUUCGAUUUGCUGGGUUUCACGUCUGCGGCGUAACUCAUCAGCCUGAAAUGUACCUUUACCUUUGUAAUUCUGUCUUCUGUGUUCAGGAAUAAAGCGAGAAGAUGCACUCAUGUUCAAUUCCUUUAGUUACUCGUUCUCUAAACGUAUGGCGAAGGAUACGUCUACACUUGGCUGAUUUCCUGUCAUGGACCAGUUCAUCAAUCGUUCGUAAUGAUUAU
Non-coding RNA from Schizosaccharomyces pombe (fission yeast), 494 nucleotides. The record is from the annotation of a GenBank genome assembly. Lineage: Eukaryota; Fungi; Ascomycota; Schizosaccharomycetes; Schizosaccharomycetales; Schizosaccharomycetaceae.